GGUCCCAUAGCUCAGUUGGUCAGAGCGUCGUACUAAUAUUCUCCUUUCCUGAAGAGGAAAUAUUAAGUAAUGCGAAGGCCGAGAGUUCAAGCCUCUCUGGGACCA
Molecule: transfer RNA, 105 nt
Filed under: Rostrohypoxylon terebratum
Lineage: Eukaryota; Fungi; Ascomycota; Sordariomycetes; Xylariales; Hypoxylaceae
Description: tRNA-Ile
Rfam family: tRNA
About the family: Transfer RNA (tRNA) molecules are approximately 80 nucleotides in length.
Source: RNAcentral